Molecule: long non-coding RNA, 1033 nt
Organism: Rosa rugosa (rugosa rose)
Lineage: Eukaryota; Viridiplantae; Streptophyta; Magnoliopsida; Rosales; Rosaceae
Exons: 6
Source: RefSeq, a predicted model, not a curated record
UUUUUCUUGGGCAAAAUUUCCUACUAACAAAACAGCCCUAAUUCUUUUUCCCUCUUUUUCCCAAAGUCCCAAACACAACCGCUCUCGAUCUCUCUCUCUCUUGCCCAGUACCUCACCACUCUCUAUCUCGCCCAAAGUCCCAAACUGGAAAUUUCUCAGCUCCGGAACCUCACCGUUCCCGCCGUUAUGAACAUUCCGAUGGCCCAAUCUUCUUCUCGCCGUCAGCUUACAGAACAAAAACUUGAGGAGGUAGCUUGAGGAGGGAGGAGCCCCCAAAACGAAUUCGAAUAAAAACCCCCAAAAAGAUUCUAACUUUGAAAUCAGAGGACUCCCAAACAAGGGCGGAUCCAAGUACACCCUUGGGAGGACUCAAGCCCACCCGAAGUCCUAGACAACAAAACUUGAGAACCCCCGAGUCCCCGACGAAGACUCUCAUACUCCCUCUCAGUCUCUCACGUACUAUACUGCUCUAAGAGAUCAAACCUUAGAUGUUAGAUCCAUAGUUUUGUCUUCUACUCUUCUUCUUGAAUUUGGGGCAAUCAAUCAAUUCAAUUGGAUUGAGGAUUGUUCUGUGUGCCAUCGAUGUGAGAGGAAUGAUGACGGUAGAGUUAUUUGCGGUGGAACUUGCUUACGAAAAUGGCACGCAGCAGCAGCUUUUCUAGUUUGAAAUCGGUUUCUUUUUCCAUUACUGGGAAUCGCUUCCCAUCUCUAACUUCAAGACCUGGACCCUUUCAAGUUUCCUAUUCGAGAACACCAUCCAUUAUUUGAAAAGGCUGCUCAUCUUCAAGUCAGCAGUGACGGAUUUGGAGUUAAUUUUGGAAAUCCAAAGCCAAGAGCUUGAUAUUACCGGGUUCUCAUGGCAAAAAGAGCAAAGCAAAUGAAAGCAAGUGCAAAGCUCACAAAAUGACAAAGUAAAAUGGUGCACUUGUGAUUGUUGUUUUAUUUCAAGUGUGGUUAUAAUUUUCAAUACUUGAAAAUGACAACACAUUUAUUUUCAUUUUAGUGUGUUUGUAUUUGAAUAUGGUACGAUGAC